Molecule: long non-coding RNA, 410 nt
Filed under: Mytilus galloprovincialis (Mediterranean mussel)
Lineage: Eukaryota; Metazoa; Mollusca; Bivalvia; Mytilida; Mytilidae
Source: RNAcentral
AUUCCAUCUAGGCGAUGAGACUUGAGUCAACAAUUGGAAGAAAGUGUUUUGGUGUUCAAAUUUCUCCGGGUUUCAGCGAUGUCUGUGUCCACAUAAUGUUUGCGGUACCGCUAGGCUAUGCUAUAGGUACCUAAUAUAGCGACGCUAUCUCCUCUUUGGCACAUUUCAGAGUAACUAGUCGAACAACCUAAUCUUCAACAUUUUAAGGACAAUAUAAACAAAGAAAAUACAAACAAUACCUAUUUCAGUAUAGAAAAAAAUAAAGGGAAAGGCAAAAACAUGAAAUUCAACCAUUUCUAAUCUCAAAUGCCAAGUUAACAUAUCUGAAUGAAAUGAGCAACCCUCCUAUAAAAAUAUAAACCUUACCGCCUUGAACCUUCACAAUUAAGAUGUAAACCACCAUCGUUAUA